This 409-nucleotide ribosomal RNA is filed under the name bacterium. RNAcentral's name for it is "partial 16S ribosomal RNA". It matches the Rfam family "Bacterial small subunit ribosomal RNA", at positions 355 to 776 of the family's 1533-position model. The record is from RNAcentral.
UGGGGAAUAUUGCACAAUGGGCGAAAGCCUGAUGCAGCGACGCCGCGUGAGGGAUGACGGCCUUCGGGUUGUAAACCUCUUUCAGUAGGGACGAAGCGCAAGUGACGGUACCUGCAGAAGAAGCACCGGCUAACUACGUGCCAGCAGCCGCGGUAAUACGUAGGGUGCGAGCGUUGUCCGGAAUUACUGGGCGUAAAGAGCUCGUAGGCGGUUUGUCACGUCGUCUGUGAAAUCCUAGGGCUUAACCCUGGACGUGCAGGCGAUACGGGCUGACUUGAGUACUACAGGGGAGACUGGAAUUUCUGGUGCAGCGGUGGAAUGCACAGAUAUCAGGAAGAACACCGAUGGCGAAGGCAGGUCUCUGGGUAGUAACUGACGCUGAGGAGCGAAAGCAUGGGUAGCGAACAGG